RNAcentral lists this transfer RNA (64 nucleotides) under Protochauliodes humeralis. RNAcentral's name for it is "tRNA-Leu". The record is from RNAcentral. Lineage: Eukaryota; Metazoa; Arthropoda; Insecta; Megaloptera; Corydalidae.
AUUAUUUUGGCAGAAUAGUGCAUUGAAUUUAGAAUUCAAAUAAGUAAUUUUAUUACAAAUAAUA